CACGUAGGCGGAUAUUUAGGUCAGGGGUGAAAUCCCAGAGCUCAACUCUGGAACUGCCUUUGAUACUGGGUAUCUUGAGUAUGGUAGAGGUAAGUGGAAUUCCGAGUGUAGAGGUGAAAUUCGUAGAUAUUCGGAGGAACACCAGUGGCGAAGGCGGCUUACUGGUCCAUUACUGACGCUGAGGUGCGAAAGCGUGGGGAGCAAACA
This 207-nucleotide ribosomal RNA is filed under the name uncultured bacterium. RNAcentral describes it as "partial 16S ribosomal RNA". It matches the Rfam family "Bacterial small subunit ribosomal RNA", at positions 568 to 774 of the family's 1533-position model. The record is from RNAcentral.